AUUGAACGCUGGCGGCAGGCCUAACACAUGCAAGUCGAAUGGUAACAGGAAACAGCUUGCUGUUUCGCUGACGAGUGGCGGACGGGUGAGUAAUGUCUGGGAAACUGCCUGAUGGAUGGGGAUAACUACUGGAAACGGUAGCUAAUACCGCAUAACUUCGCAAGACCAAAGAGGGGGACCUUCGGGCCUCUUGCCAUCAGAUGUGCCCAGAUGGGAUUAGCUAGUAGGUGGGGUAACGGCUCACCUAGGCGACGAUCCCUAGCUGGUCUGAGAGGAUGACCAGCCACACUGGAACUGAGACACGGUCCAGACUCCUACGGGAGGCAGCAGUGGGGAAUAUUGCACAAUGGGCGCAAGCCUGAUGCAGCCAUGCCGCGUGUAUGAAGAAGGCCUUCGGGUUGUAAAGUACUUUCAGCGGGGAGGAAGGGAGUAAAGUUAAUACCUUUGCUCAUUGACGUUACCCGCAGAAGAAGCACCGGCUAACUCCGUG
Molecule: ribosomal RNA, 490 nt
Filed under: uncultured bacterium
Lineage: Bacteria
Description: partial 16S ribosomal RNA
Rfam family: Bacterial small subunit ribosomal RNA
Source: RNAcentral